RNA transcript from Arabidopsis lyrata subsp. lyrata, 3074 nucleotides. It is a transcript of the gene named protein PAT1 homolog 1, with no coding region annotated. The transcript has 6 exons. The record is from RefSeq and is a predicted model, not a curated record. Lineage: Eukaryota; Viridiplantae; Streptophyta; Magnoliopsida; Brassicales; Brassicaceae.
AAAAAUAAAAAAUAAAAUAAGGCAUCGCUAUAUCUUCUCUCUAGGGUUAUGCGGUUGUUUUCUUCUUCUUCUUCUUCUUCUUCUUCUUCUCCGUCGUAUCUGUUCCUCUGCUUCCGUGAUGAGCCGAUAUGUAUUGUUUCUCAGUAGGAAACUUGUUACUCUGAUUCGAUUCGAUCGUUAAAUCCUUCAUCUAAGCGUUUUCGGAGUUCGAACUUACAAUUUUUUGAUAUUUAGGUAGGGUAUCGCUUAGGGAUCCAUUUUAUCCGAGAAAUAUCUUCUUCUACAAUCUGAUUCACCUCGAUUUUUCCAGUUUUGAAAGCAGUCUAUUAGGGUUUGUAGACUAAUUGGGGUCCUUUAGUGAUUGGGAUUUGUAGACGGUAGCGAUUAUGGACGCUUUUGGAAUCGGGAGUCCCGUGACUGAGGAUCCUAAGAAAUUUGGAGAUAAUCCUUCAGGUAAUACAAUGUUUGAUGCAUCUCAGUAUGCCUUUUUUGGGAACGAUGUUGUCGAGGAGGUUGAGCUGGGUGGAUUGGAGGAGGAAGAUGAGAUUUUGUCUUUCACUGGAAUAGCAGAAGACUUUUUAUUUGAUAAGGAAGAGGUUGAAGAUUCUAGACUUCUGUCUGACGUUGAUGAUCUUGCUAGUACUUUUUCAAAGUUGAAUAGGGAACCUGAUGUAUAUAGAAGUACGGGGCCAAUCACCGAUAGGCGAUCAAUACAGAAUUCUCUAGCUGCUGAGUGGACCCAUGGGGAGGAGUUGCCAAAUUGGUACGGCCGGCCAAUACUGGACUCUGAUGCCAUUAAAGAUGACAAGGCGUGGUCAGCACAGCCUUUUUCAUCUCUGGACCUUGUUGAGCAGAGAAACCCUGACAGAACAAAAUUGUAUCCAGAACCACAGCGUCAACUGCAUCAAGACCAUAAUCAACAACAGUUUUCCAGCGAACCAAUUCUUGUCCCGAAGUCAUCUUUUGUUUCAUACCCUCCUCCAGGCAGCAUAUCACCUGAUCAGCGUUUAGGACACCCUAAUAUACCAUAUCAAUCUGGUGGGCCUCAAAUGGGAUCGCCAAACUUCUCUCCUUUUCCAACUUUGCAGCCUCAGUUGCCUACCAUGCAUCAUGGAUCACCGCAGCAUGCUGGAAACAGGCCUCAGUUUUGUCCUGCUCUUCCUCUGAAUAAUCGCCCUCCAUCUCAAUGGAUGAAUCGUCAAAAUAUGCAUCCUGGGGAUAGUUCCGGGAUCAUGAAUAAUGCGAUGCUACAACAGCCACCUCAUCAAAACGGUUUGAUGCCUCCACAGAUGCAGGGCUCUCAGAAUAGGUUACCACAUCCGAUGCAGCCUCCUCUUGGGCAUAUGCCAGGAAUGCAGCCUCAGUUAUUUAAUUCCCAUCUUUCUCGAUCAUCUUCAUCUGGAAAUUAUGAUGGAAUGCUUGGGUUUGGUGAUCUGAGGGAAGCAAGACCAGGAUCAGGUCAUGGGAACAGACAGAACAUGCGUUUUCAACAACAAGGCUUUGAUACUGGCAUUCAGAGAAGAUAUCCAUUCCGGUCUAAAUAUAUGUCAGCUGGUGAGAUAGAGAAUAUACUGAGAAUGCAGCUUGUUGCUACACACAGCAAUGAUCCUUACGUUGAUGAUUACUAUCACCAAGCCUGUCUUGCUAAGAAAUCUGCAGGUGCAAAACUGAAGCAUCAUUUCUGUCCAAAUCAUUUGAGGGACCUCCAACAGCGUGCACGGACAAACAACGAGCCUCAUGCUUUUCUUCAGGUUGAGGCUCUUGGUAGGGUUCCUUUCUCUUCAAUCCGCAGGCCUCGUCCUCUUCUUGAAGUGGGCCCUCCAAAUUCAGCUAAAUCUGGUAAUGCAGAGCAUACCGAUAAGCCCCUUGAUCAAGAACCGAUGCUUGCAGCUAGAGUGUACAUUGAGGAUGGUCUUUGUCUCCUCCUUGAAGUUGAUGAUAUAGAUCGUUUCUUGGAGUUCAACCAACUCCAGGACGGAGGAAACCAGUUGAAACAAAGACGACAGUCAUUGUUGCAGAACCUUGCGGCUUCACUUCAGCUCGGUGAUCCCCUCGCCAAGAAUGGGCAAAGCCGGUCUCAUGAUGAUUUUCUCUUUCUAAGGAUUAUCUCUCUUCCAAAGGGUCGGAAGCUCCUUAUAAGGUAUCUUCAGCUAAUUUUCCCUGGCAGCGACCUAAUGCGGAUAGUUUGCAUGGCCAUUUUCCGUCAUUUAAGGUCAUUGUUCGGAGUUCUUUCAUCUGACCCCGAUAUCAUGAAAACCACAAAUAAGCUUGCAAAAGUUAUCAAUGUGUGCAUUCAAAACAUGGAGUUAGGACCGGUAAGCACGUGUCUAGCAGCGGUGUCUUGUUCUUCUGAGCAGGCACCGCUCCGCCCCUUAGGCAGUCCUGUUGGAGACGGAGCUUCCAUGGUACUGAAAUCAACACUCGACAGAGCUUCGGAGCUUAUUCGGGCUAAUAAUUUCAACAACACAGGGAUGGCUCUAUGGCGCGCUUCCUUUAACGAGUUCUUUAAUAUGUUGAUGAGGUACUGCAUCAGCAAAUAUGAUAGCAUCAUGCAGAGUUUGAAUUCACAAUUGCCACCGCAGUUUGCUACUGAGAUAUCUGAUGCAGCUGCACAAGCCAUUGUCCGCGAAAUGCCAAUAGAGCUUCUACGUUCAAGUUUCCCACACAUUGAUGAGCAGCAAAAGAGAAUACUAAUGGAGUUUUUGAAACGAUCUAUGCUCGGAAGCCAGAAAACCGAGCCAGUCUUAAGUUGAUAGUAUCAAAGAUUGAAGCAGUAAAAUCAAGAAACUGUAUGGCGAAGUCUGUAUAUGAAGGCAUAAGAUCAUGCAGAUACCGUGAGAAGAAAGGUAAAAGCAGCGGAGAAGAAGUUUGGUCUCUGUACAGAGAAAAGGUCUUUAGCUUUGCAGAACUUAUGAAAGAGUUAUCAGACAUUUGUGUUUUUGUCUUUUGUUUAGUUAAAUCCCAUUGUGGUUUCGAUAUUUGUUUUUGAAAUCUCUUUCCUUUUUUGUCUUUCUCUGUUUUACCAAUAAACAUUUUGAGUUAUGCUUUGGCAAUGAUUAUUCCAUUUUGUUCUU